RNAcentral lists this ribosomal RNA (253 nucleotides) under uncultured bacterium. RNAcentral's name for it is "partial 16S ribosomal RNA". It matches the Rfam family "Bacterial small subunit ribosomal RNA", at positions 524 to 776 of the family's 1533-position model. The record is from RNAcentral.
UACGUAGGGCGCGGCCGUCAAUCGGAAUUACUGGGCGUAAAGCGUGCGCAGGCGGUUUCUUAAGCCAGAUGUGGAAGCCCCGGGCUUAACCUGUGAAUUGCGUUUGGAACUGGGAGACUAGAGUGUGGCAGAGGGAGAUAGAAUUCCACGUGUAGCAGUGAAAUGCGUAGAGAUGUGGAGGAAUACCGAUGGCGAAGGCAGCCUCCUGGGCCAACACUGACGCUCAUGCACGAAAGCGUGGGGAGCAAACAGG